This is a long non-coding RNA of Neofelis nebulosa (Clouded leopard), 1030 nucleotides long. RefSeq lists it as uncharacterized. Lineage: Eukaryota; Metazoa; Chordata; Mammalia; Carnivora; Felidae. The transcript has 3 exons. The record is from RefSeq and is a predicted model, not a curated record.
AGCUUUAUUUCAUUGCCAAAUGCUAAGUCACAAUGAGCAACUUACCUCCUUUCAUACGUAGUGUAUAACAGAACCAUUGGACAGAAUGUUUGGAAGCAAGUUGUUAACCAACAUUCUAUAGAACAGAGUGUAUUCAGUGAUGACUCACAGAUAAAUUACUUCACCCUCACGGACCUCAAACUGGGUGUGCCAUUUGCUGUAGAUUGACUCAACGCUUAACCCUUCCAGUCAGACACCAGGCACCAAGUUAAUCGAUUUCAUUGCCAGACUGAGAAUUCUCCAAGCCUUCUGAAUUUAAUUUAAACUGAUUGCAUACUGAAUGAGUUUGAAGGACUGUAAAGCAAAAGUGCAUCUGCUCCAGAACUGAUCUACCAAAUGUUCAUUGGGUUGUGCUGGUGCGAAGAGCAUUCUGCAUCUAGCGGCCCAGCCCCGGAGGACGUGGUGAUCUACUGUGCGCACACGGGUAUAAACGAGAGCCACCGUGCAGCAACAUAAGUGCUACCCAAGGAGGGUUCAAGAUGCUAUCAACCUCUCACAGCAAAUGGAAAAUCAGGGUCGAGCAGAUAUCUGAAUAGCUGAAGUCCAUCUCUGUCUCCCAAGAGUUAAAUCGACAAACAAAAAAUGGAAUUGAGUCCCACUGAAAGAAUUGAAGAUCUCUGCUGAAACCAGUCACUGUGGACAGGGGGGAUUCCACCUCCUCACUGACCAUUCUGAGACACGUGUCCAAACUCAGAGCUAGGGUUCAAGGCAGCUCAGCAAACCACAUGGGCCAAUGAUGGAACAAGGCAAGUGCUGGUUCUGUUACUGGAAGAACGGGGAAAGGAUGUUGGGGAACUGAAAUCAAGAAAUGUCCAUGAUCACAUACAGAAACUCUACUCUUUUACAUCCUCUCCAACACCAAUUUCGUUACUGAUGUCACAAAUAACAUCUUUUUAUAUUUUGUAUCCAUUAACAUGGGGGUAUUGUUUGUAUUUUGGGCUUUUAUCCUUUGAAUCCUACACCAAAAUUAAAAGUGAUUUAUGCACCACCA